AGAAGAGCAGUCGAGGAAAUUUUCAGACGACAUUCCGACAUUGUUAACGCAUGCGGAAGCCAUGGAUGGCGGCGGCGACCAUGCGAAGGUGAAAUGGAAGUCCGGUGAUGGUGAAAAUGGGGAAGAGGAUGACGCCGGAGAAGGUCAACGUCUAUGGCGCAAAUCACAUCGGCAGAAUAUCCGGCGAGAUCUGGAGGAGAGAGAAGGAGCUAGGGUUUG
Molecule: unclassified non-coding RNA, 219 nt
Filed under: Hevea brasiliensis (rubber tree)
Lineage: Eukaryota; Viridiplantae; Streptophyta; Magnoliopsida; Malpighiales; Euphorbiaceae
Source: RNAcentral